RNAcentral lists this ribosomal RNA (492 nucleotides) under uncultured bacterium. RNAcentral describes it as "bacterial SSU rRNA". It matches the Rfam family "Bacterial small subunit ribosomal RNA", at positions 12 to 507 of the family's 1533-position model. The record is from RNAcentral.
UUUGAUCAUGGCUCAGGAUGAACGCUAGCGGCAGGCCUAAUACAUGCAAGUCGAACGCUCAGUAGCAAUACUGGGAGUGGCGCACGGGUGCGUAACGCGUACACAAUCUACCUCUAAGCGGGGGACACCUCCUGGAAACGGGGAUUAAUACCGCAUAAUAUGCCGAGGUCGCAUGACUUUGGUAUUAAAGCAGCAAUGCACUUAGAGAUGAGUGUGCGUCCCAUUAGGCAGUUGGUGAGGUAACGGCUCACCAAGCCUAUGAUGGGUAGCCGGUCUGAGAGGAUGGUCGGCCACACGGGCACUGAGACACGGGCCCGACUCCUACGGGAGGCAGCAGUAAGGAAUAUUGGUCAAUGGUGGAAACACUGAACCAGCCAUGCCGCGUGGAGGAAUAAGGUCCUACGGAUUGUAAACUCCUUUUGACGAGGAAGAAAGUGUUAGAUUUAUCUAAUUUUGACGGUACUCGUAGAAUAAGCACCGGCUAACUCCGUG